AAAAAUCAAUUACAUCUUUAAUAAAAAAAUCUAUUAAAUUAUCCUAUUAAUAUUUUAUCAAACACUGAAAAGGAAAACUUAAUUAUUUAAAAGAAUUUUAUAUUCCUUUAGUAUCAUGAAAUUUCAAUUUAACAUAUCAUCUUUAAAAUCCCGAAAUUAUAUGAUCUAACUUAAUUAAAAAUUUAUGUAUCAUUAUAAUAAUAAAAUUUAUGUUAGAAACUAAACAUUAUACGAAUAUAAUAAUAUCUGGUUUUCUAAAAAGAAAUAUCUUUAUUCAAUUCAUAAUAUUAUAAUAUAUUAUGAACAUAUCAUAAUAUCAUCCUUUAAAAAAAGACUAAUAAUAUCUACACAAUUUAACAAUUAAUAUACUCAAUACAAAAUAUAAUUUUAUUAGAAUUACAUUACAAUUUCAAUAAUUAUAAAAUUAUAAAUAGACUAAAAUCUAAAUUUUCCAAACUCACCUAUUACUGAAUGACUGUUUAUCAAAAACAUUUCUAUUAGAAAUUAUUAAUAGUAAAAUCUGCUCCAUGUUUAAUAAAUAGCCGCAAUUUGUGCUAAGGUAGCAUAAUCAUUUGUCUUUUAAAUGAAGACUAGAACAAAAGAUUUAACAUUUUCAGUUUAUUUUCCUAACUUAUUCUAUUAAAUUUAUCCUAAAUGUAAAAAGACAUUUAUAUAAAAGAAAGACGAUAAGACCCUAUUGAACUUAACUGUAGUUAAACUGGGGCAGUAAAUUAAUUAUUAUUUUAAUAAAACUUAUUAUAUAAAUAUCUUUUAAAAUUAAAUAAUUCAGUUACCAUAGGGAUAACAGCGUAAUAAUUUUCUAAAGCUCUUAUUUAAAAUAUAGAUUACGACCUCGAUGUUGAAUUAAUAACCUAACUAAGGCAAAACUUAGAAUAGGAAGUCUGUUCGACUUUUAAAAAAUUACAUGAUUUGAGUUCAGACCGGUGUAAGCCAGGUCGGUUUCUAUCUUCUAGAAAAAUUUUUACAGUACGAAAGGACCUAAGAAUUUAAUAUAAUU
RNAcentral lists this ribosomal RNA (1018 nucleotides) under Habronattus oregonensis. Its description in RNAcentral is "16S ribosomal RNA". The stretch from base 678 to 972 matches the Rfam family "Archaeal large subunit ribosomal RNA", at positions 2154 to 2717 of the family's 2987-position model. Lineage: Eukaryota; Metazoa; Arthropoda; Arachnida; Araneae; Salticidae. The record is from RNAcentral.